Long non-coding RNA from Homo sapiens (human), 880 nucleotides. Ensembl annotates it as long intergenic non-protein coding RNA 1791. The record is from Ensembl. NCBI's taxonomy places the organism in Eukaryota, Metazoa, Chordata, Mammalia, Primates, Hominidae.
AUUCCGAGAUUGUGUGCUGAGGGUUUUCAACUGCAUCUCUAAAGGGAAGGCCAAAGAAAGAGCAACAGGAAAGGAUGGUAAAAAGGGGGUAGAAAGGAAGAAGGAAGGGAAGAAAAAAGGGAAAACAGCAAGCUCUCUUUCCAGAGCCACACAUUUUUUUCUGUUUGCUCAGUGGCAGUCUGUUAAAGAAAUACUUCAUUGUCACUGAACACAGAGUCAUUAAAGGCACCUUGGAAAUUUGGACCCUUUUACUAGAAUCAGGGCUUAAAUAGCAACUUAAUUUAUGACACUUCUCGAGGCUGAUGGCGUUUUUGCUCUAAGACCUGCCUUGCAAGAAAUGUUAAAAGAAGUGCUUUAGAGAGCAGGGAAAUUCUAUAGGUCAGACACUUGGAUCUACAUAAAAAAAGGAAGAAACCAAAGGAGAAAUAAGUGAAGUCCAAAGAGUCCAUGACAGAGAGACUCAGUGGGAUCUAAAAUAAGGAUUCAUUCUUCAGACAACUCCUGCUCAUGGUUUCCCCCUAUCUUUACAAAAUCGAUCUCAGAUUCAUUCAACAUGCAUUCAACAGCUUUCUAUCAAGAAAAGACAUUGUGCUCAAGAGCUGGAGGUGAUAAAGUCCAAUGUGAAUUUCUUAAAUGGCAAAUUACCAGCCAGGAUGAACACACAAAGGCUUCAGCUUUUAUGUACGGCCUAGAAGCCCCAGGGCCCCUGUUCCCCCUGAGCACCCAAGAGCAGCUUCUGAACACUGCAAUGUGCUGGCUGGAGGCCUCUGGAGAAGAGGAGGCCAGACCUGUGAAUUAUGGCAAAUUCUACUGCACCCUGACUUCAGCAACCUCCUAAAUCAGAAAAGGGGGCAUUAAAAAUGUUUUUCCUUCAUGCAAA